CAAUAGCGUAUAUUAAAGUUGUUGCGGUUAAAAAGCUCGUAGUUGGAUUUCUGCUGAGAACGACCGGUCCGCCCUUUGGGUGUGUAUCUGGCUCUUUCUUGGCAUCUUCUUGGUGAACGUUGCUGCACUUGACUGUGUGGAGCGCUACCCAGGACUUUUACUUUGAGGAAAUUAGAGUGUUUCAAGCAGGCGUACGCCUUGAAUACAUUAGCAUGGAAUAAUAAGAUAGGACCUCGGUUCUAUUUUGUUGGUUUCUAGAGCUGAGGUAAUGAUUAAUAGGGAUAGUUGGGGGCAUUCGUAUUUAACUGUCAGAGGUGAAAUUCUUGGAUUUGUUAAAGACGGACUACUGCGAAANCANNNGCCAAGGAUGUUUUCAUNGA
This 380-nucleotide ribosomal RNA is filed under the name uncultured eukaryote. RNAcentral's name for it is "partial 18S ribosomal RNA". It matches the Rfam family "Eukaryotic small subunit ribosomal RNA", at positions 592 to 976 of the family's 1831-position model. The record is from RNAcentral.